This 255-nucleotide ribosomal RNA is filed under the name Morganella morganii. RNAcentral's name for it is "partial 23S ribosomal RNA". It matches the Rfam family "Bacterial large subunit ribosomal RNA", at positions 1144 to 1397 of the family's 2925-position model. The record is from RNAcentral. Lineage: Bacteria; Pseudomonadati; Pseudomonadota; Gammaproteobacteria; Enterobacterales; Morganellaceae.
ACUGGUCGAGUCGGCCUGCGCGGAAGAUGUAACGGGGCUAAAAGAUACACCGAAGCCGCGGCAGCGAUAUGUAAAUAUUGUUGGGUAGGGGAGCGUUCUGUAAGCCUGUGAAGGUGUCCUGUGAGGGUUGCUGGAGGUAUCAGAAGUGCGAAUGCUGACAUAAGUAACGAUAAUGCGGGUGAAAAACCCGCACGCCGGAAGACCAAGGGUUCCUGUCCAACGUUAAUCGGGGCAGGGUGAGUCGACCCCUAAGGC